RNAcentral lists this ribosomal RNA (400 nucleotides) under Paralecithodendrium longiforme. Its description in RNAcentral is "eukaryotic LSU rRNA". The stretch from base 2 to 145 matches the Rfam family "5.8S ribosomal RNA". Lineage: Eukaryota; Metazoa; Platyhelminthes; Trematoda; Plagiorchiida; Lecithodendriidae. The record is from RNAcentral.
UCGGUGGAUCACUCGGCUCGUGUGUCGAUGAAGAGCGCAGCUAACUGUGUGAAUUAAUGUGAUCUGCAUACUGCCUUGAACAUCGACAUCUUGAACGCACCUUGCGGCCAUGGGUUAGCCUAUGGCCACGCCUGUCCGAGGGUCGGCUUAUAAACUAUCACGACGCCCCUAAAGUCGUGGCUUGGGUCUUGCCAACUGGCGUGAUUUCCUCAGCCUCCAGUAAUGGUGGUGUUGGGGUGCCGGGUCUAUGGCUUCUCCCUAAUGUGUCCGGACAUCCAUGCGCAACAUGUGAUGGCGGAGUCGUGGCUAAAUGGUGUUUGCGCGCGCUCCGAUCACUGGCAUGGUCCCUGUCUGUUACUGGGUGUGUGGCGCUCACGUGCUUCAUAGCCCAUUUACCUGA